This 520-nucleotide ribosomal RNA is filed under the name uncultured Glomus. RNAcentral describes it as "SSU rRNA". It matches the Rfam family "Eukaryotic small subunit ribosomal RNA", at positions 569 to 1091 of the family's 1831-position model. Lineage: Eukaryota; Fungi; Glomeromycota; Glomeromycetes; Glomerales; Glomeraceae. The record is from RNAcentral.
AGCAGCCGCGGUAAUUCCAGCUCCAAUAGCGUAUAUUAAAGUUGUUGCAGUUAAAAAGCUCGUAGUUGAAUUUCGGGGUUAGUAGGUUGGUCAUGCCUCUGGUAUGUACUGAUCUCACUGAUUCCUCCCUCUUGACGAACUGUAAUGUCAUUAAUUUGGUGUUGCAGGAAAUCAGGACUGUUACUUUGAAAAAAUUGAGUGUUUAAAGCAGGCUUAGGCUUGAAUACAUUAGCAUGGAAUAAUGAAAUAGGACGUUUGAACCUAUUUUGUUGGUUUCUAGGAUCGACGUAAUGAUUAAUAGGGAUAGUUGGGGGCAUUAGUAUUCAAUUGUCAGAGGUGAAAUUCUUGGAUUUAUUGAAGACUAACUACUGCGAAAGCAUUUGCCAAGGAUGUUUUCAUUAAUCAAGAACGAAAGUUAGGGGAUCGAAGACGAUCAGAUACCGUCGUAGUCUUAACCAUAAACUAUGCCGACUAGGGAUCGGAUGAUGUUAAUUUUUUAAUGACUCAUUCGGCGCCUUAA